GUGCCAGCCGCUGCGGUAAUACGUAGGUGGCAAGCGUUGUCCGGAAUUAUUGGGCGUAAAGCGCGCGCAGGCGGCCUUUUAAGUCCAUCUUAAAAGCGUGGGGCUCAACCCCAUGAGGGGAUGGAAACUGGGAGGCUGGAGUAUCGGAGAGGAAAGCGGAAUUCCUAGUGUAGCGGUGAAAUGCGUAGAGAUUAGGAAGAACACCAGUGGCGAAGGCGGCUUUCUGGACGACAACUGACGCUGAGGCGCGAAAGCGUGGGAGCAAACAGGAUUAGAUACCCUGGUAGUCCACGCCGUAAACGAUGGAUACUAGGUGUAGGAGUAUCGACCCUUCUGUGCCGGAGCUAACACAAUAA
This 356-nucleotide ribosomal RNA is filed under the name uncultured Dialister sp. RNAcentral describes it as "bacterial SSU rRNA". It matches the Rfam family "Bacterial small subunit ribosomal RNA", at positions 505 to 863 of the family's 1533-position model. Lineage: Bacteria; Bacillati; Bacillota; Negativicutes; Veillonellales; Veillonellaceae. The record is from RNAcentral.